UCCAUAACUUUCAAGAAAACUUCUCAAAGAAGGUAGAUUAGAGGAGGCUUUUCAUGUGACUGUUAUUUUGCAUAUAAGAUAUUUUACCAUUAGGGAAUGGACACUGGGUUUUUGUUUUUUUUCCUAGUAACUGUUGGGGAUUUAUAAAGAUCUUUUUACCUUAACUCCUGGAGCCCAUUUAGACCAAGGAAAUACCUCCCCAUUAGCAAGGGGAUAAUGCAGUAAGAAGGCCCUUACCAGACCCUGAUACCUCAACGUUGGAUUUCCCAGUCUCCAGAACGGGACCAAGAUCGGAUCUGGAAUGGCUACCCCUGCUGUUUUACCAUAAGCAGAGCAAGCCAAAUGCUAAGAGGACCCUUAAGAUUUCCUAACAAUAGGUAUGCGUGGAAAAGACAGAUGGCUUCCUUUGCACCUGAUAGAUUCCCACUGACUGAACAUCUGUGAGAGGAAUGGAAGGUAUUUACUUUGAGAUUCUGUUUAUACUGGAAGAA
Molecule: long non-coding RNA, 491 nt
Organism: Callithrix jacchus (white-tufted-ear marmoset)
Lineage: Eukaryota; Metazoa; Chordata; Mammalia; Primates; Cebidae
Source: Ensembl